UACCCGCUGAACUUAAGCAUAUCAAUAAGCGGAGGAAAAGAAACCAACAGGGAUUGCCCUAGUAACGGCGAGUGAAGCGGCAAAAGCUCAGAUUUGAAAUCUGUCGCUAUUUUGGCGGCCGAGUUGUAGUCUGUAGAGGUGUAUUCGAGUGUGGCUUUGGCUUAAGUUCCUUGGAACAGGGCGUCAUAGAGGGUGAGAACCCCGUUAACGGCCUUUGUCUUAUGCUCAUGUGAAUCUCCUUCAACGAGUCGAGUUGUUUGGGAAUGCAGCUCUAAAUGGGUGGUAAAUUCCAUCUAAAGCUAAAUACUGGCAAGAGACCGAUAGCGCACAAGUAGAGUGAUCGAAAGAUGAAAAGAACUCUGAACAGAGAGUUAAAUAGUACGUGAAAUUGUUGAAAGGGAAGCACUUCCGACCAGACGCACUUGCAGCCGAUCAAUCUUCAUUCUUGAGGGUGCACUCGGUUGUCUGUGGGUCAGCAUCAGUUAUGGCGGUGGGAAAAAGACUAAGGGAAUGUGGCUCCUUUCGGGGAGUGUUAUAGCCUUUGGUGCAAUGCUGCCUGCUGUGACUGAGGACCGCGCUUCGGUGAGGAUGCUGGCAUAAUGGUCGUAAGUGACCCGUCUUGAAACACGGACCAAGGAGUCUAACAUCUAUGCGAGUGUUUGGGUGUUCAAACCCUUACGCGGAAUGAAAGUAAAUGGAGGUGGGAACCGUAAGGUGCACCAUCGACCGAUCCUGAUGUUUUCGGAUGGAUUUGAGUAGGAGCAUAGCUGUUGGGACCCGAAAGAUGGUGAACUAUGCCUGAAUAGGGUGAAGCCAGAGGAAACUCUGGUGGAGGCUCGCAGCGGUUCUGACGUGCAAAUCGAUCGUCAAAUUUGGGUAUAGGGGCGAAAGACUAAUC
RNAcentral lists this ribosomal RNA (898 nucleotides) under Legaliana limnaea. RNAcentral's name for it is "eukaryotic LSU rRNA". It matches the Rfam family "Eukaryotic large subunit ribosomal RNA", at positions 22 to 936 of the family's 3401-position model. The record is from RNAcentral. Lineage: Eukaryota; Fungi; Ascomycota; Pezizomycetes; Pezizales; Pezizaceae.